UACGGAGGAUGCGAGCGUUAUCCGGAUUUAUUGGGUUUAAAGGGUGCGUAGGCGGACUGUUAAGUCAGCGGUAAAAGCCCGGGGCUCAACCCCGGCGAGCCGUUGAAACUGGCUGUCUUAGAUGUCGAGAGGUAUGCGGAAUGCGCAGUGUAGCGGUGAAAUGCUUAGAUAUUGCGCAGAACUCCGAUUGCGAAGGCAGCAUACCGGCGGCGAUCUGACGCUGAGGCACGAAAGCGUGGGUAUCGAACAGG
Molecule: ribosomal RNA, 251 nt
Filed under: uncultured bacterium
Lineage: Bacteria
Description: partial 16S ribosomal RNA
Rfam family: Bacterial small subunit ribosomal RNA
Source: RNAcentral